GUAGGUGAACCUGCGGAAGGAUCAUUAACACGUGUCCCACGUAUCAAACCAAAACCGUGAACUGUGAACGUAUAUCCGGGAUAAGCUAGAUGGCGUGGGCAGUAAAGUCCAGGGAUGAGUCUACUUUCGGGUGGACUGUACUCUGGGUUCCCCACAUUUGGCUUAGACCGUUAACCAAACCAAUUAUUCAUUAUUAUUAUCGUCUUAAGAACUGUCGUGCUGACUGAGAGGAUCGCGAAGUAGCUAGCUC
Molecule: unclassified non-coding RNA, 250 nt
Filed under: plant metagenome
Description: partial contains small subunit ribosomal RNA, internal transcribed spacer 1, and 5.8S ribosomal RNA
Source: RNAcentral